ACCAAAUCGUUCUGAAAGUUCCCUUUGACUCCUAGAUUUGAAGAGACUUAGCCUGCUUCCUGCCUCCAAUUGCUCUGCUAAUUUAAUCUGCUCAGUCUCUGAAGAGUCUAAAUCAUUGGCCUUUGGGGAGAGUAAUCUGAGCGAGAGGAGGAAGUCAUAGCGCCUUUUAUGUGCUCCCCUGGGAAGUCACAUGUCACUUCUGCCAUACUUUAUUUGUUGGAGGAUCUUAAGAAGCUGAGCGGCCCAGUGGGAGGUCCCUGCAUGGAGUUGUUCCCAAGCACAAUGCACAGCAGAGUGCUUCACCUGGGAGGGCUGGAGCCCGCCCUCAUUUCCAAAAGCAGCCUUCAGGAGCAGGGACCCCAUCAGCCACUCUGUCACAGUCGACGGAUGGCCAUUAGCUCUUUGGGCAAAUCCUUCUUGAGUUUCCACAAUAUGCCAAGCACUGAACCAGGCCUAGAGUUUACGAUGAUGAAUAAGCCAGCAAGGACACUGACCACAUGGAGCUCCAUCUUCCAGUGGAAAGAAGCUUCUAAACAGGCGCAGUGUCAACCAUGAACUUGUUUGCUGAAUUACAGGUUGAUGGGUAUGUUGUGCUUCUUCCAAAGGCAUCCAUCUUGAGCCCUCUCUCUUCAGGUUCCCCAUGUCUAUAGUUCCGUAUCCCUGGCACCGUCUUUCCAAACCAAUGCACAGCACCCCCGUUCCCCCUAAACACACAUUCCUAGUUAAUUCCUGCUCAAGUCUUAGCUUAAAGAUCAUAUCCCUGUCCAGCCUCCCACCCUGGUAAGGACCCCUCCAACGUGCUCCCAUAGUCAUUCCAGCAGUACUACCAAGUACUUAAAAAGAAAACAAACCCAGAAUUCCUUUUUUGGUGUUCUGUUAUUUUUUUCAUCCGUUGCUUUUGUUUUCAUGAGUAGGUGCCAAAGCUGUCCAAUAGAACUUUCUGCGAUAGUAGAAAUGUUCUUCAUAUGUGCUCAGAUUUCAAUCCAAGAAAUCUGCUGCCUGAGUCUGUGCUCUAAACCACCAUGGAAAACUGCCUCCUGC
RNAcentral lists this long non-coding RNA (1041 nucleotides) under Equus caballus (horse). Its description in RNAcentral is "lncRNA (ENSECAG00000044559.1)". The record is from RNAcentral. Lineage: Eukaryota; Metazoa; Chordata; Mammalia; Perissodactyla; Equidae.